Molecule: ribosomal RNA, 484 nt
Filed under: uncultured bacterium
Lineage: Bacteria
Description: partial 16S ribosomal RNA
Rfam family: Bacterial small subunit ribosomal RNA
Source: RNAcentral
AUUGAACGCUGGCGGCAGGCCUAACACAUGCAAGUCGAGCGGAUGAAGGGAGCUUGCUCCUGGAUUCAGCGGCGGACGGGUGGGUAAUGCCUAGGAAUCUGCCUGGUAGUGGGGGAUAACGUCCGGAAACGGGCGCUAAUACCGCAUACGUCCUGAGGGCGAAAGGGGGGGAUCUUCGGACCUCACGCUAUCAGAUGAGCCUAGGUCGGAUUAGCUAGUUGGUGGGGUAAAGGCCUACCAAGGCGACGAUCCGUAACUGGUCUGAGAGGAUGAUCAGUCACACUGGAACUGAGACACGGUCCAGACUCCUACGGGAGGCAGCAGUGGGGAAUAUUGGACAAUGGGCGAAAGCCUGAUCCAGCCAUGCCGCGUGUGUGAAGAAGGUCUUCGGAUUGUAAAGCACUUUAAGUUGGGAGGAAGGGCAGUAAGUUAAUACCUUGCUGUUUUGACGUUACCAACAGAAUAAGCACCGGCUAACUUCGUG